CGCAUCUGUGCAUGCAGCAUAUCAAUAAGCGGAGGAAAAGAAACUAACAAGGAUUCCCUUAGUAACGGCGAGUGAAGCGGGAAGAGCUCAAAUUUGAAAUCUUCAAGGUUUUACCUUGACGAAUUGUAGUUUAAAGAAGUGUUUUCUGUUGAAGUUUUGGUAAAAGUUCUUUGGAAUAGGACAUCAUAGAGGGUGAGAAUCCCGUAUUUGACCAUUAUUUUCAGCUGUGUGAUACACUUUCAAAGAGUCGGAUUGUUUGGGAAUGCAGUACCAAAAUGGGUGGUAAAUUUCAUCUAAAGCUAAAUAUUGGCGAGAGACCGAUAGCGAACAAGUACCGUGAGGGAAAGAUGAAAAGAACUUUGAAAAGAGAGUUAAACAGUACGUGAAAUUGUCAAAAGGGAAGCGUUUGACACCAGUGUUGUUUUCUCGAAAAUCAAUUAAAAAGAGUUUGAUUUUGUUGUGUAUUGACCUUAACAGCUUGCAUUUCAAUUUUCUUGCUUUUUUUAAUGCACUUUUCGUUUAACAAGUCAACAUCAGUUUCUUUUGUUGUAAAAAGGUCAUUGGAAGGUGGCUUUCUUUUCGGAGAAAGUGUUUAUAGCCUUUGACUCCUGCAAUCGGAGAGACUGAGGUCUGCAGCGUAGAUCCUUCGGGGUUAGAUACAUUUGUGCUAAGUUAUAGCUUUUUAUAGACAACUUGUUGACUAUGAUUAGUCUUGUAGCUUACUCGCUUAUGCUAUUUUACCUACGCUUAGGAUGUUGACACACGCGCGUGCUCG
This 775-nucleotide ribosomal RNA is filed under the name uncultured Neocallimastigales. RNAcentral describes it as "partial large subunit ribosomal RNA". It matches the Rfam family "Eukaryotic large subunit ribosomal RNA", at positions 26 to 643 of the family's 3401-position model. Lineage: Eukaryota; Fungi; Neocallimastigomycota; Neocallimastigomycetes; Neocallimastigales. The record is from RNAcentral.